RNAcentral lists this long non-coding RNA (839 nucleotides) under Salmo salar (Atlantic salmon). RNAcentral's name for it is "lncRNA (ENSSSAG00000109753.1, ENSSSAG00000117220.1)". Lineage: Eukaryota; Metazoa; Chordata; Actinopteri; Salmoniformes; Salmonidae. The record is from RNAcentral.
CCUAAGUCCUGUGAGGAAAUUGCUUCCGCCUUAAAGGACAAGGUCCAUGACAUCCCAAAGAAGGUUCUGUCUGUGAUUUGAACCAAGAAAGCUACAGGGGGGGGGGGUCACAGACAGCGUGUCAGAGGUCACACAGGUUCUAUGUGACAUAAGGUCCCACUACAUCUCGUGGCCUCGAGCUGAAUAAUUCCCAAGCAUGGCAAGGGCCUUCAAAGAAAGUGGAUUUCCAGGAGUGAUUCCAGUUGUCAUUUCUGGAUGUGUACACCGGAUGGCCUGAAUCUGUUCAUGAUGCCAGGGUACUUCGAAAUAUUAACCUUUUCCAGCACCUUGAGCAGGCCAACAUGGAUGAUUUCCACCUUCUCGGCGACUCAGCCUACCUCCUUGUCCCUUACCUCAUUAUGCCUUACAGGAACAAUGGGCAUUUCUCUCCAAUGCAGAAGAAAUUCAACUCCAUCUCACAGCUCCACGAGAGUUGACAUUGAAAUGGCAUUUGGACACCUCAAGGUCAAGUGGAGACGCCUCAAGUACCUGCCCAUGGUGGACAUUGAAAGGUCCCUGUGGUCACCACAGCAGCAUUUUGUGUUCCACAACAUCCGGCUGUGGCAUGAUGGUCUUGAAGACUGGGAGGCUGAUGCUCCGGUCCCUCAGGAUGUCAACGAUGAAGAGGCUGAGUAAUCCACAAUCCACGGAUAUCCAACCUAAUCAGCGACCGCAACCAAGAGAUUGCCUUUUCCCUCACUUCGUAACUAUCCAGACCCUCAUACAUGUAAUCAUUAACUUCUAGUAUAGCAAGUAUUUCAAGCUAGAAUCCAACAGUCCCCCCUUUUAGAAGAGUACCU